UACGGAGGGUGCAAGCGUUAUCCGGAUUCACUGGGUUUAAAGGGUGUGUAGGCGGACUUUUAAGUCCGUGGUGAAAUCUCCAGGCUUAACCUGGAAACUGCCAUGGAUACUAUUGGUCUUGAAUGCUGUUGAGGUGGGCGGAAUACAUCAUGUAGCGGUGAAAUGCUUAGAUAUGAUGUAGAACACCGAUUGCGAAGGCAGCUCACUAAGCAGAUAUUGACACUGAGGCACGAAAGCGUGGGGAUCAAACAGG
RNAcentral lists this ribosomal RNA (253 nucleotides) under uncultured bacterium. Its description in RNAcentral is "partial 16S ribosomal RNA". It matches the Rfam family "Bacterial small subunit ribosomal RNA", at positions 524 to 776 of the family's 1533-position model. The record is from RNAcentral.